RNAcentral lists this ribosomal RNA (253 nucleotides) under uncultured bacterium. RNAcentral's name for it is "partial 16S ribosomal RNA". It matches the Rfam family "Bacterial small subunit ribosomal RNA", at positions 524 to 776 of the family's 1533-position model. The record is from RNAcentral.
UACAGAGGUCUCGAGCGUUAGGCGGAAUCACUGGGCUUAAAGCGUGUGUAGGCGGCGGGCUAAGUACCUUGUGAAAUCCCACGGCUCACCCGUGGAACUGCUGGGUAUACUGGCGAUCUUGGGCCAACUAGGGGCAGCUGGAACAAGCGGUGGAGCGGUGAAAUGCGUAGAUAUCGCUUGGAACGCCGAAGGUGAAAACAGGCUGCUGGGGUUGUGCCGACGCUGAGACACGAAAGCCAGGGGAGCAAACGGG